RNAcentral lists this ribosomal RNA (606 nucleotides) under Triticum aestivum (bread wheat). RNAcentral's name for it is "partial small subunit ribosomal RNA". Lineage: Eukaryota; Viridiplantae; Streptophyta; Magnoliopsida; Poales; Poaceae. The record is from RNAcentral.
AUGAUCCUAAAGAUGGUUACUGCAUCAACAAUAUGUUCAACAUCUUCAAAUGCUUGCAGAGAGACUGCUCAUUUUAGCACGACGCUGAGUUAUGUCAAUUCACAAGAUAACAUGAUCAAUGGUAGAACAGUUGUAAACCUAGCGGUGAGCUGUAGCACAUAUCCCCAAACAAGGACACGCGUCUUGAAUCUUGAAAGAAGAUGUUUCUGCAUCGCCCUGCGCAAAAUUCAGUCAUUCAUCACAACCCUUAGCUUGCCUCUUGUUAGCGAUUCACACUGUUCUUUUAGCUCAGUACUGCAAUCGUAUAUCACUAGCCUUUCCAGCGAAGAUGGGAGGCCCUUCUUAGGCAGCCUUGGGAUGUCAUCACAACAAACGAUACUCAAUGCCUUGAGGGAAGGAAGGCUGUGCAGUCUCACAGGAAGAUGUACGAGGUUGAAACAAUCAAGAAAUUCAAGGUUUUGCAGGGACCUGAGGAGCAGUAGCGCUCUCUCUUGCUCAUCUGUUAGUCUUGUCCCUCCCUGUUCCAGCUUCUCAAGUCGUAGGCAUUGGAGGCAAGUGAGGCCAUUGCACAGUGACAUGGUAAGGAGAGACAAGUCAUCAAUGUGA